This 72-nucleotide transfer RNA is filed under the name Loxodonta africana (African savanna elephant). It matches the Rfam family "tRNA". From Rfam's summary of the family: Transfer RNA (tRNA) molecules are approximately 80 nucleotides in length. Their secondary structure includes four short double-helical elements and three loops (D, anti-codon, and T loops). Lineage: Eukaryota; Metazoa; Chordata; Mammalia; Proboscidea; Elephantidae. The record is from Rfam by way of RNAcentral.
GCUCUCGUGGCACAAUGGUUAAGCACCUGGCUGCUAACCAAAAGGUUGGUGGUUCAAGCCCACCCAGCAGCU